RNAcentral lists this ribosomal RNA (253 nucleotides) under uncultured bacterium. RNAcentral describes it as "partial 16S ribosomal RNA". It matches the Rfam family "Bacterial small subunit ribosomal RNA", at positions 524 to 776 of the family's 1533-position model. The record is from RNAcentral.
UACGUAGGGUGCGAGCGUUAAUCGGAAUUACUGGGCGUAAAGCGUGCGCAGGCGAUUUUGUAAGCCAGAUGUGAAAUCCCCGGGCUUAACCUGGGAAUGGCAUUUGGGACUGCAAGGCUUGAGUGCGGCAGAGGAGACUGGAAUUCCUGGUGUAGCAGUGAAAUGCGUAGAUAUCAGGAGGAAUACCGAUGGCGAAGGCAGGUCUCUGGGCCGACAUUGACGCUGAGGAGCGAAAGCGUGGGGAGCGAACAGG